CCGGAUUCUGGGGCAGUUAUGCCAGGGGAACCAAUGAACAUUGGUCCUAUGACAUAUCCCAUGCAGUAUACCUAUGCUCAUUCAUGAAGUGCUGAUAAGAGGUGUAGUGCACGUACAUAGAAACAUCCGUUAGUUCAUAAUUCUAUUUAUAUUCCUUCAUUGUUGCUUUUAUGCAAGCUAGAGUUUUAUGCUUAUUCAAUGAUUUCAAAUAAGACACUGAAUACUUGACAUCCUUUGGCAUCAUAGGAUAUCAUUAAAGCAACUUUAUUUUUAGUUAUUUAGAUUGUUAUUUUUUAUUUUUGGACUGAAAGUUUUAGGUUGUUACUGUAAAUAGUCAUAUAAAGUGAUCCGUUUGUUAUGUAGAGGAAGUUUCCAUUGCUUUAAUUUUUUAAGGGAACUGAGCUUAUGAUGGCUUAUAGCUGAUAACUUAUAAGUUCGUAUAUAAAAGGAAGUAAUGUUUGGAAACAUUUUUUUCUCACAA
This 481-nucleotide long non-coding RNA is filed under the name Trifolium pratense (red clover). RNAcentral's name for it is "long non-coding RNA (TPRA_LNC007469)". The record is from RNAcentral. Lineage: Eukaryota; Viridiplantae; Streptophyta; Magnoliopsida; Fabales; Fabaceae.